GGCUUAACACAUGCAAGUCGAGGGGCAGCACAGGUAGCAAUACCGGGUGGCGACCGGCGCACGGGUGAGUAACGCGUAUGCAACUUACCUAUCAGAGGGGGAUAACCCGGCGAAAGUCGGACUAAUACCGCAUGAAGCAGGGGCCCCGCAUGGGGAUAUUUGCUAAAGAUUCAUCGCUGAUAGAUAGGCAUGCGUUCCAUUAGGCAGUUGGCGGGGUAACGGCCCACCAAACCGACGAUGGAUAGGGGUUCUGAGAGGAAGGUCCCCCACAUUGGUACUGAGACACGGACCAAACUCCUACGGGAGGCAGCAGUGAGGAAUAUUGGUCAAUGGCCGAGAGGCUGAACCAGCCAAGUCGCGUGAGGGAUGAAGGUUCUAUGGAUCGUAAACCUCUUUUAUAAGGGAAUAAAGUGCGGGACGUGUCCCGUUUUGUAUGUACCUUAUGAAUAAGGAUCGGCUAACUCCGUGCCAGCAGCCGCGGUAAUACGGAGGAUCCGAGCGUUAUCCGGAUUUAUUGGGUUUAAAGGGUGCGUAGGCGGCCUUUUAAGUCAGCGGUGAAAGUCUGUGGCUCAACCAUAGAAUUGCCGUUGAAACUGGGGGGCUUGAGUAUGUUUGAGGCAGGCGGAAUGCGUGGUGUAGCGGUGAAAUGCAUAGAUAUCACGCAGAACCCCGAUUGCGAAGGCAGCCUGCCAAGCCAUUACUGACGCUGAUGCACGAAAGCGUGGGGAUCA
RNAcentral lists this ribosomal RNA (731 nucleotides) under uncultured Bacteroidales bacterium. RNAcentral's name for it is "bacterial SSU rRNA". It matches the Rfam family "Bacterial small subunit ribosomal RNA", at positions 45 to 770 of the family's 1533-position model. Lineage: Bacteria; Pseudomonadati; Bacteroidota; Bacteroidia; Bacteroidales. The record is from RNAcentral.